Phascolarctos cinereus (koala) is the source of this 306-nucleotide non-coding RNA. Lineage: Eukaryota; Metazoa; Chordata; Mammalia; Diprotodontia; Phascolarctidae. The record is from RefSeq and is a predicted model, not a curated record.
GGAUGAGGGUAGCAAAGAGAGAAAGUCGCGCUAGCACCUGUUUUGUAUUUUUCCAGGAUGCAAAUGAAGAAACUGAGACUCAGUGACUUUCCUAUGGCCGUACAGUCAGUGUAACCAUAAAUUCAGAGCUCUUGCCAUGUGCACUCCAGUGGCUGGAUUAUCAUGAAUGACAGGACACAGAAGAGUAGAUGCAGAGGCACUUUCUUUUUGAAAGAUAAGAAAUACAGAGAAAACUGCACCACUUCCCAAUAACUCACAAGCUGAACCCUUCUGACGCCCUUGGCCACCAGCAAACCUCUGGGCUUU